GUUUACAGUUGAGUGUCAUCUUGUCUGCAUCUGUUUCAAAUUAAAAAAACAUGCAAGCAUUCAUGAAUUUCUGGCUUGCAUUUACUUAAAAAAUAUAAUUCUCGGAUUUAGUUUUAUGCAAGUGAUGAUACAUGAAGAAAAACCUUGCAAUAUCUGUCGGUUUAACUCCGCAAUAAUAUAAGAAAACGUCCAAAAAAAUUUCUUGUGCAACAAUUCAUGAAAAAGUUGCAAUUAACCGAUUGUUUUUCGAUCCCAAUAUUUGAACAAAAAUGUGAGAAAUUUCGUAUUUGCGCACUGAAAGGGAAUGCCUUAGGGAAUACCUUUAUAAACAAUUUACGUUCUUCAUGGUCUAAAGACACAAUGAUGCAAAGCUGCAAACAGACGUAAGCUAUAACAAAGAUAACAUAGACAGACACGAAAAUAAAUUGAGACUGCUUACUGGACAUUGAAGUUUUCCAUGUCCUCAACCAAGUUCUCGUAAUCUGGUACCGAUAUGUGUAACAAAUCAUCGAUGGUGUAAAGAUACAAUGAUGAAUACUUGCAAAUAUUAAGCUGGACCAUACUGGACCAACUCGCAAUAUCAGCUGAUCUCACAACUGGAUGAACCUGCAACAUUGACGACGGAUUUACUUGGAUCAACGUGUACUACAAAUCGGAUUAUGCUGGAUUUAUCGACGAUUUCAAGUUGAGGAUUAACGGAGCUACCCUACCUACAUUGAGAUACGACGACAUCAAUACAUCACGGGCUGUAAAGAUGCGACGACAGAUGAAGAGGAAGUCUAAAAACUCUCAGGUUCAUACUAUAGGUACUAUAGGUACUGUAGUUCAAUCUCGUGUCCAGAACUCGUAGACAAGUAGUGCAUGACUAAUAUCGGUUAUUGUUCUGGAUUCGAGAUCUCCUGGUGGUAUCCGUCGGAAGUAUUUACACAUUCGAG
Non-coding RNA from Paramuricea clavata, 935 nucleotides. Lineage: Eukaryota; Metazoa; Cnidaria; Anthozoa; Malacalcyonacea; Plexauridae. The record is from the annotation of a GenBank genome assembly.